Gasterosteus aculeatus aculeatus (three-spined stickleback) is the source of this 473-nucleotide long non-coding RNA. NCBI's taxonomy places the organism in Eukaryota, Metazoa, Chordata, Actinopteri, Perciformes, Gasterosteidae. The record is from Ensembl.
AAGAGUUAAAGGUAACUGACCUUUAAAGGCCGACUAACCUGUGAGAUCCAUCUCUCAUGGAUAUGUAGAUGUGCAAUGGCAGGGAAAGGCCAAUCUAUGGAUGUAAACCAAAGUCGGUGUCUGGUGAGGCUGUGGUACAGAACUUCAGCCUGUGCAUCACGGCUCAGCUAACCGGCUCUCUGCUGUUUCCUGUCAAUAAGCAUCCAAACUGAAAGAACUCAUUCCCCAUGUGGGCCUGAGUUCCACAAUGAAGUGGAACCAGACGUCCAAGAAUUGGAGACGAAUUGGAGAUGAUGAAGAUCGAGACGAUGACGACGAUGAUGUUGAUGAAGAUGGAAAUGCUGCAGUCUGCUUGUGUCCACUUCAUAGCAGCCAAACACACCACUCCCUUCACACGCUACGUGGAGCACAUCAACUACCGGCUGGCCUCCUGUCACUUCUUCUCCUGCUGUCACCUUUCCGUAGCUUUUCAC